Long non-coding RNA from Vigna radiata var. radiata (mung bean), 504 nucleotides. RefSeq lists it as uncharacterized. The record is from RefSeq and is a predicted model, not a curated record. NCBI's taxonomy places the organism in Eukaryota, Viridiplantae, Streptophyta, Magnoliopsida, Fabales, Fabaceae. The transcript is spliced from 3 exons.
UGACCUGCCUCAGACUUUGAGCUCGCUUUCUAGCAUAAGCACCAUGUAUCUGCAAAACAACCAGUUUACAGGCACCAUUAAUGUCCUUGCUAAUCUGCCUCUGGAAACUCUGAAUGUGGGAAAUAAUCAUUUUACAGGUUGGAUACCAAAACAAUUGAAUAACAUAAACCUGCAGUAAGCAUUGUCAUUAGCGGCACUUUUUAUUUUGUUAUAAAUUCUAUAAAUCUUGAAAAUGGUCACAUUUAAUGACAGAAAGGAUGGUAAUGAUUGGAGCUCAGGACUGCACCCCCACCUCCUCCUGGGACACCUCCAGUAGUACCAAGAAAUCGAAAUCACAAAUAUGGGGGACAUACCCCAUCAGAUACUGGCUCAAGUGACGAUGAAGGCAAAAAAUCUGGUAUUGGAGGUGGUGGCAUUGCUGGAAUAGUAACCUCCAUCCUGGUUGUUGCGGCACUAGUGGCAUUCUUUCUGGUGAAGAAAAGAUCCAAAAAGUCGUCUAAUGAU